RNAcentral lists this ribosomal RNA (497 nucleotides) under uncultured bacterium. RNAcentral's name for it is "partial 16S ribosomal RNA". It matches the Rfam family "Bacterial small subunit ribosomal RNA", at positions 28 to 507 of the family's 1533-position model. The record is from RNAcentral.
GAUGAACGCUGGCGGCGUGCCUAAUACAUGCAAGUCGAGCGAACGGACGAGAAGCUUGCUUCUCUGAUGUUAGCGGCGGACGGGUGAGUAACACGUGGAUAACCUACCUAUAAGACUGGGAUAACUUCGGGAAACCGGAGCUAAUACCGGAUAAUACUUUGAACCGCAUGGUUCAAAAGUGAAAGACGGUCUUGCUGUCACCUAUAGAUGGAUCCGCGCUGCAUUAGCUAGUUGGUAAGGUAACGGCUUACCAAGGCAACGAUGCAUAGCCGACCUGAGAGGGUGAUCGCGCACACUGGAAGUGAGCCACGGUCCUGGCUCCUACGGGAGGCCGCGGUAGGGAAUGUUCGGAGAUGGGCGGAAUACUGCCGGAUCGGCGCCGGGCUGAUGAUGAAGGGCUGCGGGUCGUAAGACUCUGUUAUUGGGGAAGAACAUUUGUGUAAGUAACUGUGCACUGCGUGACGGUACCUGAUCAGAAAGCCACGGCUAACUACGUG